This is a long non-coding RNA of Equus quagga, 551 nucleotides long. RefSeq lists it as uncharacterized. The transcript is spliced from 3 exons. Lineage: Eukaryota; Metazoa; Chordata; Mammalia; Perissodactyla; Equidae. The record is from RefSeq and is a predicted model, not a curated record.
CACUGAGGGAACUCCUGAGGUUGUGAACCAGCAGUUCCUCAUCUCGCACCUAGGCAUACCCAGGGAUCAGCCAAGAAUUUUGGUCCUCUUCAUCAUUCAGUUAAAAAAAAAAUUAGCCUGAGAUUUUGCAAAGAUGGAGGCAGUGGCCUAAAUUUUAAUUCUCCCUGAAUCUUCCCACCAAUACAGAGAAAGAAAGCCAACUGGAAUGUGGCAAUCUGAAAACAGAAAUCAAAGCUGGAGGGAUUUCUCGGGAUCUAAUUUCCUGGUCAAAGCCUUGAACUAGAAGGAAAUUCUGGGAGUAGAAUCCAAACCGAACAGGACCAAGGCAACACGUUCAAAGGAAAAUGUUGCUGCAGGACUCAGGAGAUGACAAACUUAUUCUGGAAAGUGCCAGAUAGUAAACUUGCAAGCUUUAUUGUGGGCCACAUGCAUUCUCUGUCACAUAGUCUUCCUUCAUUCUCUCCCCUCUCCCUCCCUUCUUUCUUUUCUUUUUUUUCCCCCACAAUGCUUUAAAAAUGUGAGAAACAUUCUUAGCUUGAGGUCCAUAUUUG